GACGGAGGGCGCAAGCGUUGUUCGGAAUCACUGGGCGUAAAGCGCGCGCGGGCGGACAUGCAAGUCGGGAGUGAAAGACCGGGGCUCAACCCCGGACCCGCUUUCGAGACUGCAUGUCUAGGGACCGGUAGGGGCAGGUGGAAUUCCCGGUGUAGCGGUGGAAUGCGUAGAUAUCGGGAAGAACACCGGUGGCGAAGGCGGCCUGCUGGGCCGGGUCCGACGCUGAGGCGCGAAAGCGUGGGGAGCAAACAGG
This 253-nucleotide unclassified non-coding RNA is filed under the name uncultured bacterium. RNAcentral describes it as "partial 16S ribosomal RNA". It matches the Rfam family "Bacterial small subunit ribosomal RNA", at positions 524 to 776 of the family's 1533-position model. The record is from RNAcentral. RNAcentral also lists the same sequence under 1 other name.